UCCCGUGCGCCGUGACCUCACGCGGCCGGGAGGCUUUCCAGGGCCUUUCGGACAUUUCGGCUCUGCAGGCCUCGCCCGCACCUGCACGGCGAGAUGAGGAGCUCGAUAUGGCGAGCGGGGGGAUGAGCGCGUUUCGUUGGUGCGAAGGGGACUCCCCGGGGCACAGCCUCGAGAACCUGUUCAACAGGCGCAUGAGAACAUACUUGAGGUCCCAGCAGCGAGGGAAUCCCGUAUCAUUUAAGCAUUCCAACAGACAGGAUGGAGCUUCCUGCUGACUUUAUUGGAUGGACUGGGACUGAAGAGGAUAUAAAAAGUUGCUAAGACUCAUCCUUCGCAUUUCGUCCACUUGUAUCCUCCUUAUUACUUUCUAGCAGUGCAAAUCAGACUUCUUUGGCAAAAUUCUCCUUCGGGAACACAGUUCUUAAAAUGCUCAUGUUUGGAAAAGGGGCUGAUACACACCAAGUGAAACCAAGAGAAUAACAGUUCUUAUUUUCAUUUUAAUGCUCAUGUUUUAUCUUGUGUGGAAGCAUCCAAGCAUACCAGGGAACACUGCAAAUUCCAGGAUUGCAUGGAAUAGCAGCAUUUUACUCAUAUAGGGUAAAAAUUCAGGAGGAAUUACAUGGCUACAGACCACCCCAAAGCUCCUUUCCAUACCGUGUAACUUAUCAUUACAGCCAAGCUGGCAGAGAACCUGACAGUCUGAGAUAAAGAAACUUCCCUGCCCAACCAACAGCAAUUCAGAUCAACAUUUAAAAAACCCCAAAACAACACAAGACAGAAACAAUUAAGAUAAAUAAAAAAAUACCUGCUUCAAAAUGUUAGCAGCUAUCAAGCAAAAAUAAUAUUCCGAGGAUCCAAGGAUUUUCACUUUUCUACUGUUUAGAGAGUAUCUCUGUUACAGGCAUUUGACAUUCCAGUAAGAAGAAAAAGCAGCAAGACUCCAUUCCUUCAUAUGUUGUUUUUCUGCAGACUUUCUAGAGUAAUAGAACACAAGUGAUCUCUCCUUGCUAAAAAAGAAAUCCUGAGUGGUUCCUUUUGAGUUGUUUGGGAGUUGUUUGGCCUUGGGGAAAAAAUUACAAAAAGCUCCACCUGACAUUUAUUAGAUGUGUCCUGCACUGGAAAGUGUAAAACUGGAAUCACAAUGGUAUCUUAAUUAGCUGAUACAAGCUUAUUUUCUUGACUGGGUACUGCAUGUAGGAAAACAUCAAAGCAGCACCAGUGUUUGUUGUGUGAAGCUUUUAUCACGUCCUGUAGAUUACCCGCUCUCCUUGUGGUACAGCACUAGUAGGAACAGAAAGGAUUACAGAAUGACAGUGGGAUGCAUUUUGAAAUCCUGUUAACAAGAGAGAAAAAAACCCUCACCCCUAAAUGUUUUUAGGACUUUUAUUGAAAAAAUUUAAAACCAAAAAAUUACCAAGGCCAGUCUUACAAUAAAUUUAAGACAUACAGAAUGGCUUACCUGCUACAUGGAAGAAACCUUAUUACAACAUUUCUCUCAUGCAACUCCUGGAUUAAAACCACAUUCUCAUUUAACAUCAAAAUGGAUUAUUUAUACUUUCUUAGGAGUUCACCUUAAAAUAUGAUUUAAAAAGUCAAUUUUCCAAGGGUUAAAAACACGUACACAGCACGAUUCCCCCCUUCACAGACCAGCUCCCUUUGUCUGAUAACUGGCAGAAAUAGACCACUGAGCAUGUUUUUCCUUUUUUUGUUAUUCUAACCUGAGAAAUUUCUUAAAUAAUGCUUACUGGGCUUUCAUAUUUGGCAACACGACUUCAGUUACUGAGCAAAGUGUGAUUCCUUUUUCUUGUCAGAAACCAGUCUUUCACUGCUUGUUCCAAAAGACACUCACAACCAGGAGGAGCAUUUGUCCCAAAAGACACUCUCACAAGCAGGAGUGGCAUUAGCCUAAACCUCCUUCUGUGCCCUUUUGGUAAGUUAAACCUUGUUAGUAAUUCCAUCAGGACACUAACCUCAGGAUGCAGAGUUCCCAUCAGUUGUGUAAUUCUCAGUAUUGUGCACUUUGAAAAUAUUUACUUUGGCAUGUUAUACUUUGUAGCAUAGUUGAUUUUUUUUGUGCUUACUCCCGGCCUUUACAAAAUCUGUCUUUUCUCUCUUGCAUUUAUUCAAGCCCUUCCCCUUGCCACCAGUUAUCUCCCUUUCUCAUAGCUGCAACAGAACCAGGGCAUAAAGCACACAAUUACAUUAAAAUGUCAGAGCUACAAAAGCUGCUGCACAGCAGACAGUGCUCUUAUAAAGCACUCUUAGUUGAUGAAUAUGCUUGUAAACCCUGUGACUCUUUUAGUACACUAUUCAAGGCUUCAAUUUUAAAUCUGUACGCUUACUAAUAUUUGAUUUCAAACCCUCCAAAUACUUGGUGUUCUACUCUACUCAAAUGUGCUAGUCACUUCACACUUGCUCCCCAUAUAUAAAACCAACACUGUCCAAAGAAAUUAUGAAAAACCACUUGAAAGAAGCAAUUUAACUUCCGACUGAUCAGAGCUUCUUCUGCAUUUUCAGUAAAUUUGUAUGUUACAUAAUUUGGGUUAUUCAGAAUUGUUGCUCUUCAGUUUUAUCUGAACACACCUGAUUUUCAAAUGAACCAUAAUUUCUUCACAGUUACUAGUCCUGUCUACCUGACUAAAAUUCACUGAGCUUUGUUUGCUCCAUACUCUGACUACUAAAAACCUUUACAGUAACCAUGGAGAUCAAAAGUGCUUGACUGGAAAGGUGCAGAAGUCACACAUUCUGAGAAAUGGCUGGAUUUUUCUGUUCAUUUUAGUGUAAUUCUGGUCGUGCCUGUACUGAAUACUGAAGUGUUUCAGUUUUCUACUUCUCUGCAAACUGGUUUUAAAAGAAUGUUAUAGGAGAUUACCACAAAAAAAAGAUGUGGAGAGAUAUCCACACAGUUGGUAAAUGACAACCUUUUAUUCUACUGCAAUUUGUUGGCGUUUUUGAUCCCAAAAGAGGAAAUAACAGACUUUGGACUUUCUUAAAUGUGCUCAAAAUCCAAAUUUCUUUAUUUUCCAUCUAAUUAAAAAAGACAAGUAUUGAAAAAUAAGGAGCAAACCUAACUGUUUCAGUAACCUUUAGUCUCACGUAUCUUUUAAAUUAUACAGUGCAAGUGUAUUUUGCAUAUCAGCGCUGAGUGCACUUUAGAAAGGACAUCUGUUGAAGUAUUUGCAACAGGUCUUUAUAGCACCAUAUAAUUGCUGUCGAUUUAACUGCUUAGAAUCAGCCAGUGCCUAGAAAGUAAAAUGAUGACAUUUCUAUUUCAUCUAUCAUUCCAAAAAAGAAAAGAAAUCUGGAAGCUUAUGUUAUCCAACUGAAUUAUGUAAACAAUUAAAUACCAGACACUUGAUUUUCACUUAUUCCAGUUUUGUGAACCUGGUUGAAGAUUUGCUACGUGAUCCUUCUGUAAUGGCACAGUUCAAUUCAGUGGCAGGAAAACUUCAUGGAUGUAUUGAAUGAAAACGUCUCUCUCUCACUUUUCCUUGAAUUGGCAAAGUUUCUUUUUGCACGAUUUGCACGAUUUGGUGCUGAGCCUUCUGCCAAGGCUCAUUUUCAAUUCAUAAUUGACAAGAAAAGAAGUGACAAACACAAGAGGCUGAGUGCUGGCAAAGCCACAGUAUAACACAAUAGGAACAGCAAGGCCAUGAGGAAGCCAGAGGUAACCGAGGUAUCUGGAACAAACCAAAACUACACUAAACACAAGAGAGCAGCUUAGCCCCACAGCACAUUUUACAUUCUUUAGAUACUUGACUGGUCUGUUUUCUACUGACACACAAUUCAGAAUUCAUUCAGAAUUGAAGGAAUACACAAUCUGAUUAGACAUGAAGUACACGAACCAUUCAUGCACCGACAAAUGCUGCUGUUGGUUUUUCACAGGUAAUGCUGAAGCAGCUGUGUCAGAAUGGCACUGGGUUGAAAUGAAAGCAAUGCUGGUACUUUACCACUUCUGGUAAUUGUUACUUACAACAGUCAGUGACCAUCUGCUCAACACUACAAGAGGCUUGUUUUCCAAACAUGAGUUCCAGUAAGCUGAAUUACAAAUGAGAUCAGUCUGAAUGCAUUAGAAAGAUCACAUGGUGUAUUUCUGGAGAAAGCGGUCGAACGCGUCGUAAAUCGCUUGUCUGAAACAAGUAAAAGAGAAGAGAAUUUGUACAAUUUGGGAAAGGGCAGAUAUAAGUGGCAUCCUUCCAUACAUUUACAAAUAUAUUUACAAAGCUAUCAUCACAAUUUAUUUCCUUUAUUUCUGGGAUCUCUCACUUCAAACCAGUAAUAUAUUGAUGUUCCAGGAAUGAGUGGGACUGUUUUCCAGCUUUAAUGCAAGUGCAAAUAUAGAUGGACUCGGAGUUUUCUACUCAAACACAUCAGAGACAUGCAUAACUUAAAAUUUUUGAGCAACUAUCAUAAAAAUAGGGCUGAAGUUUUAAAUAGCAGUAAGCUAGUGGUUAGCAUACAUUGACCCAAUAGAGUGCUAUUCUUUUUUGUUGUUGCUUAGACUUCCUAAAUGGUGUGUACAGUCUUCCUAAAUCCUUAUAUUUUAAAAUUAAAAGCACAAAUAUUUAAAACUUUUGGAAAACUACAGAACUGCACUCAUAUAACUGAUUUAUGUAACUGUCUUUAGAAAAUCAACACCUAAUAUUACUAAGGCACGAAUUCAUGCACAUACUACUUAUUUACAGUCAAGCUUUCAUUUUAAUUAAAUCUAAAAUUUAAUUUUAAACUUUUCCGUCCAUCUUACCUGAAGAGUCCUUGUUUGAAGAGGUAGGCACUGACAUGACCUCCAUCCAGAUACCUGAUUUCACACCCCGGCCAAAUCUCUUGGAGGCUGCGCACCCCAGUGCGAGGAAUGUACGCGUCCUCCUUAGCUUGUACAACUAUGAUUAAACUUGGGUCAACUGGAACUAAAGGAAAACAAAGCAAAACUGAAUUUAUCUGUGGUAAGAAGUAGAAACACAACAGCUGAGAUUUCUGUUGUAAAAAUGCUAUUUUCACAAAAAAUUAAAUUAUUCUAAGCUUUAAUAAAAGUACAUUUUCUAAAAUCUCCA
This is a long non-coding RNA of Corvus hawaiiensis (hawaiian crow), 5051 nucleotides long. RefSeq lists it as uncharacterized. The transcript has 2 exons. Lineage: Eukaryota; Metazoa; Chordata; Aves; Passeriformes; Corvidae. The record is from RefSeq and is a predicted model, not a curated record.